UAGCUAGUUGGUGAGGUAACGGCCCACCAAGGCGACGAUCGGUAGCCGGACUGAGAGGUUGAACGGCCACAUUGGGACUGAGACACGGCCCAGACUCCUACGGGAGGCAGCAGUGGGGAAUAUUGCACAAUGGGGGAAACCCUGAUGCAGCGACGCCGCGUGGAGGAAGAAGGUCUUCGGAUUGUAAACUCCUGUUGUUGAGGAAGAUAAUGACGGUACUCAACAAGGAAGUGACGGCUAACUACGUGCCAGCAGCCGCGGUAAAACGUAGGUCACAAGCGUUGUCCGGAAUUACUGGGUGUAAAGGGAGCGCAGGCGGGCGAUCAAGUUGGAAGUGAAAUCCAUGGGCUCAACCCAUGAACUGCUUUCAAAACUGGUCGUCUUGAGUAGUGCAGAGGUAGGCGGAAUUCCCGGUGUAACGGUGGAAUGCGUAGAUAUCGGGAGGAACACCAGUGGCGAAGGCGGCCUACUGGGCACCAACUGACGCUGAGGCUCGAAAGUGUGGGUAGCAAACAGGAUUAGAUACCCUGGUAGUCCACACCGUAAACGAUGAUUACUAGGUGUUGGGAGAUUGACCCUCUCAGUGCCGCAGUUAACACAAUAAGUAAUCCACCUGGGGAGUACGACCGCAAGGUUGAAACUCAAAGGAAUUGACGGGGGCCCGCACAAGCAGUGGAGUAUGUGGUUUAAUUCGACGCAACGCGAAGAACCUUACCAAGUCUUGACAUCCCUUGACGAUGCUGGAAACAGUAUUUCUCUUCGGAGCAAGGAGACAGGUGGUGCAUGGUUGUCGUCAGCUCGUGUCGUGAGAUGUUGGGUUAAGUCCCGCAACGAGCGCAACCCUUAUGGUCAGUUACUACGCAAGAGGACUCUGGCCAGACUGCCGUUGACAAAACGGAGGAAGGUGGGGAUGACGUCAAAUCAUCAUGCCCUUUAUGACUUGGGCUACACACGUACUACAAUGGCGUUAAACAAAGAGAAGCAAGACCGCGAGGUGGAGCAAAACUCAGAAACAACGUCCCAGUUCGGACUGCAGGCUGCAACUCGCCUGCACGAAGUCGGAAUUGCUAGUAAUCGUGGAUCAGCAUGCCACGGUGAAUACGUUCCCGGGCCUUGUACACACCGCCCGUCACACCAUGAGAGCCGGGGGGACCCGAAGUCGGUAGUCUAACCGCAAGGAGGACGCCGCCGAAGGUAAAACUGGUGAUUGGGGUGAAGUCGUAACAAGGUAA
RNAcentral lists this ribosomal RNA (1232 nucleotides) under metagenome. Its description in RNAcentral is "bacterial SSU rRNA". It matches the Rfam family "Bacterial small subunit ribosomal RNA", at positions 242 to 1499 of the family's 1533-position model. The record is from RNAcentral.